CCAGCAACUCAAGCUCCAUCAGACCAGCAACUAAAGCUCCAUCAAGCCAGCAACUCAAACUACUUGAGACCAGCAACUCAAACUCCAUCAGAUGAGCAACUUAAACUCCAUCAGACCAGCAACUCAAAGCGUUUAUUCUUCAGGCUCGUUGACUUUGUUGUUUCAGCUUCGCCUGUAAGUCAAGAAAAAUAAAAAAGGGCUGAAGCUCAUUGGUUUAGACCCCAGUUACUCAUCCUUGCCCCCUUCUCCUUUUAAUGACAGCAGUUCCACUAGAUCCAAUAUCUGAGCCGCAAGUGAAGGCCAUUAGUUGGAUUCGUUGAGACGCAUGCCAUUGGAAGUGUUUUAUAGGUAGUUGAGUGCUCAUAUCAAUAACAACCUCACAGAACCAAGUACUUAUAGUAUAUAUUUUUUAAUGUUUAAUGUUUGUUAAAGCCACUUUUUUGUUUACUUUUUUCUCAAGUGUCGCAAAAAAUUGUGAUGCGCUAAUGUUCCUUUGUUAGAAAUAAAUAUGUUUAAAAUAGAAACAUUGUUAGAUGGAAAGUUGUUUUUUUUUUUUUUUUUUUUUUUUUU
Molecule: non-coding RNA, 570 nt
Organism: Biomphalaria pfeifferi
Lineage: Eukaryota; Metazoa; Mollusca; Gastropoda; Planorbidae
Source: the annotation of a GenBank genome assembly